GCGAGUGAAGCGGCAAAAGCUCAAAUUUGAAACCGUUCGCGGGUUGUAAUUUGAAGAUUGUGUUCCGGCGACGACCACGCCUAUGUUCCUUGGAACAGGACGUCACAGAGGGUGAGAAUCCCGUGCGGCGUGGCCCCCGUCUCCUUACGGAACACUCUCUACGAGUCGAGUUGUUUGGGAAUGCAGCUCUAAGUGGGUGGUAAAUUCCAUCUAAAGCUAAAUAUUGGCGAGAGACCGAUAGCGAACAAGUACAGUGAUGGAAAGAUGAAAAGCACUUUGAAAAGAGAGUGAAACAGUACGUGAAAUUGUUGAAAGGGAAGGGCAUGCCGUCAGGCUGCCAGUGUCAGUUGGAUGAGCGGGAUAAAACCAAAGGAACGUGGCCCUCGGGUGUUAUAUCCUCUGGCAAUACCGCUCGCCCGACUGAGGCCUGCAUUAUUUAGGACACUGGCGUAAUGACGGCACGCCGCCC
This 469-nucleotide ribosomal RNA is filed under the name Kodamaea alishanica (nom. inval.). Its description in RNAcentral is "eukaryotic LSU rRNA". It matches the Rfam family "Eukaryotic large subunit ribosomal RNA", at positions 89 to 650 of the family's 3401-position model. The record is from RNAcentral. Lineage: Eukaryota; Fungi; Ascomycota; Pichiomycetes; Serinales; Debaryomycetaceae.